Long non-coding RNA from Protopterus annectens (West African lungfish), 448 nucleotides. RefSeq lists it as uncharacterized. The record is from RefSeq and is a predicted model, not a curated record. NCBI's taxonomy places the organism in Eukaryota, Metazoa, Chordata, Ceratodontiformes, Protopteridae. The transcript is spliced from 2 exons.
CAAAAAACAAAAGGAAUACAAGGUGAAGGAACAGUGAGAAGUUUGAAUGAAAACAAUCCUGAAGAGCAUCUUGCUGAAGGCAGAAGUAAUGUAGGUAACACUAACAAAAGAAGUAGGAAAGAUGAAGGUGAUCAAUAUGACUCUGACAGUGACUCGUACUUCUGCAGUGAUGAGGAUGAAGAUGAUAAAAGCGAGGAUUCUGAAUGUGAAGUGAAAGAAAGUAAAGUCCAUUACUCACAGAAAUCAAAUACACCUUCACCAUGCAACACGUCAGCACGAAGACCAUCAAAAUCUCAACAGAGAAAUGCCAUACCAGCAGAAAAGAACAAAGUGCAAGAACUACCAGAUGUUGCUGCUGUAACAUUGCAGUCUGACACAGACCUGUGUAAAGUGUAGCCCAUUUCAAAUAAGUAAAAAAGACCGGCAUUAUGGUCAUAUCAGCAAAACA